GAUGAAGAACGUAGCGAAAUGCGAUAAGUAGUGUGAAUUGCAGAAUUCAGUGAAUCAUCGAAUCUUUGAACGCACAUUGCGCCCCUUGGUAUUCCAUGGGGCAUGCCUGUUCGAGCGUCAUUUGUACCCUCAAGCCUAGCUUGGUGUUGGGUGUUUGUCUUGUGCUCUUGCGCGUAGACUCGCCUUAAAACAAUUGGCAGCCGGCACGUUGGCCUGGAGCGCAGCACAUUUUGCGCCCCUUGCCCUGAUUGCUGGCACCCAUCAAGACCAUUUCUUUGCUCUUGACCUCGGAUCAGGUAGGGAUACCCGCUGAACUUAAGCAUAUCAAUAAGCGGGAGGA
Molecule: unclassified non-coding RNA, 340 nt
Filed under: soil metagenome
Description: partial contains 5.8S ribosomal RNA, internal transcribed spacer 2, and large subunit ribosomal RNA
Rfam family: 5.8S ribosomal RNA (bases 1-120)
Source: RNAcentral